CUCCUGGAAACGGGUGGUAAUGCCGGAUGCUCCGCCCCCUCGCAUGGGGGGCCGGGAAGGCUUUUGCGGAAUGGGAUGGGGUCGCGUCCUAUCAGCUUGUUGGCGGGGCGACGGCCCACCAAGGCUUCGACGGGUAGCCGGCCUGAGAGGGCGACCGGCCACAUUGGGACUGAGAUACGGCCCAGACUCCUACGGGAGGCAGCAGUGGGGAAUAUUGCACAAUGGGGGGAACCCUGAUGCAGCGACGCCGCGUGCGGGAUGGAGGCCUUCGGGUCGUGAACCGCUUUUGAUUGGGAGCAAGCGUGAGUGAGUGUACCUUUCGAAUAAGCACCGGCUAACUACGUGCCAGCAGCCGCGGUAAUACGUAGGGUGCAAGCGUUGUCCGGAAUCAUUGGGCGUAAAGGGCUCGUAGGCGGUUCGUCGCGUCCGGUGUGAAAGCCCAUCGCUUAACGGUGGGUCUGCGCCGGGUACGGGCGGGCUUGAGUGCGGCAGGGGAGGCUGGAAUUCCCGGUGUAACGGUGGAAUGUGUAGAUAUCGGGAAGAACACC
Molecule: ribosomal RNA, 548 nt
Filed under: uncultured Bifidobacterium sp.
Lineage: Bacteria; Bacillati; Actinomycetota; Actinomycetes; Bifidobacteriales; Bifidobacteriaceae
Description: bacterial SSU rRNA
Rfam family: Bacterial small subunit ribosomal RNA
Source: RNAcentral